AAGAGUGUGGCAGAAGCUGAGCCAAUUUCUUUGAAAGGGCCAAUUGAAAAAGCAAUAAACCUAAGCCUAGGAAAUAAGAAAGCAAAGUUAGGAAGCCCAAAUGUCAUGCAGGUAAAUCAAAUUCAAAUUUCAUCCCCAUCUGCAAAGCUUAAGCUAGUAUGGUAAGAAGCAACACAGGAGGUUACAGAGGUUACGGGGUUGAGAAUGGAGACAAAAUUAAAGUUCACUCUAGUUAUUGGUUAGUUAGGCCAAUUGUCAAAUCGAAUUUUCCUGAUGAUACUUGAGUUUCUGAACUAAUUGAUUCUAAUCAUAGGUGGGAUCGAUGAAAAAGCUUUUAUUCAGCAGAACUUUGCUGCAGAAGAUUCUGAAAGCCGUCAAGAAGCAUCUUUGUAUUGCAAUCAAGAAACCAAACCCUCCUACCCCCAAAUUCACAAUGCGUCAUAGCAUUUAAAUUUUUUUUUUUUCCUCCUGUUUUGACAUUUUAGAAUUUUAAGCUACUUAAUUUAAUCUGUUAUACUUCUAUAUGGUGUCCAAA
RNAcentral lists this long non-coding RNA (535 nucleotides) under Citrus maxima (pomelo). RNAcentral describes it as "long non-coding RNA (CMAX_LNC000446)". The record is from RNAcentral. Lineage: Eukaryota; Viridiplantae; Streptophyta; Magnoliopsida; Sapindales; Rutaceae.